This 72-nucleotide transfer RNA is filed under the name Bos taurus (domestic cattle). It matches the Rfam family "tRNA". From Rfam's summary of the family: Transfer RNA (tRNA) molecules are approximately 80 nucleotides in length. Their secondary structure includes four short double-helical elements and three loops (D, anti-codon, and T loops). Further hydrogen bonds mediate the characteristic L-shaped molecular structure. tRNAs have two regions of fundamental functional importance: the anti-codon, which is responsible for specific mRNA codon recognition, and the 3' end, to which the tRNAs corresponding amino acid is attached (by aminoacyl-tRNA synthetases). tRNAs cope with the degeneracy of the genetic code in two manners: having more than one tRNA (with a specific anti-codon) for a particular amino acid; and 'wobble' base-pairing, i.e. permitting non-standard base-pairing at the 3rd anti-codon position. RNAcentral also lists the same sequence under 2 other names. Lineage: Eukaryota; Metazoa; Chordata; Mammalia; Artiodactyla; Bovidae. The record is from Rfam by way of RNAcentral.
UCCCUGGUGGCUCAGUUGGUAAAGCCUCUGCCUGCAAUGCAGGAGACCCAGGUUCAAUCCCUGGAUCGGGAA